RNAcentral lists this long non-coding RNA (2361 nucleotides) under Equus caballus (horse). RNAcentral's name for it is "lncRNA (ENSECAG00000047191.1)". The record is from RNAcentral. Lineage: Eukaryota; Metazoa; Chordata; Mammalia; Perissodactyla; Equidae.
UUACACUCUAGAAAGAUAAAUAAUCUUCCCAAAUUCCCAAGAUGGUGCACCAGGCCCCCUGUGAUGGGCCCUGCCUCCUCUUCAGUCUCAUUGCUCUACAUUCCCCACAGCCUUUGUGUUCUUUUUUUUGAGACUCCUACCACCUCAGAGCCUUUGCACCUUCUGUUCCAUCAGCCUGAAUUACUCUGCACCGUUGCCUCCUUAGCAACUCCGCAUACUUCAGGUCUCAGCUUAAACCCCUCUUCUUAAAAGGAUUCCCUCUCAAUCCCAAAGAUUAGGUCAGGUUCCACCUGUUACAUCGCAUCACAGCCCCCUCUGCUUUUAAUUCUUGUAAUUAUUUGAUUAAUCCACCGGCUCCUUAAGGACAUCAGUAAUGCUUUUGUUGUUUCCCACUGUAUUCCCAGCACACAACAGGUGCUCACCAAAUACUCUGAAGUGAAUGAAGAUUAUAAAUUUUUUAUUAAAGCAAAAACUGGGGUAUGUUAGUCCCUAGUCUUCCAAGCAGACAUCAAGACAGGUUUACACCUGCCAGGAUUUUAUUAGGGGGAAGGCAUACGAAAAAAAAUGGAGAGGAAACUAGGAGAGUCGUCAGACUGUGAGGCAAGUCUGACCCUAGAGUGAAGAAGGGAAGAAAGGAAGGUUCGGAAGACCGUCCUCUACAUUCUAGCUCAGUCCAAGAGAGGUUCGGCGAGGCCAUCGAGGAACCCACCAGCCAAAGCUGAAGGUCAGAGGAGUGCCCUGUCUCCCGGGAACCCACGCUUUGGCAUCACCACCGCACGCACUCAUUCGCUCGGAGCGCCAUGGGAGGCGUGGUCCGGCAGCUGCGGCACUCACUCAUUGGCUGGGAGCACCGUGGGAGGGGUGGUCUGGCAGCUGGGGAGUGCAGUUCAGGGCUGGCCGCAGCCCAGCGAUCAUCAUUUAUGCUCCAUGGAGGAGGAAGUCUCCUUCUUCUGGCUGCCAUGUGGGCGUUCAGAGGCGAGAGGAGGUGACUUCUUGUUUAUAGGGAGGAGAAAAAUUACUAAAGAAUCGUGAGAAAGAAGAGGAAACAGAUUUUCCAGGUGAAGAGGCAGCGUUUGAUCCCGGACUCAAUGCUGGUCGUCAGAGAAAGGGGUGAAAGAGUCUCCCGACUGAGAAAGCAGCACGUGCAGCCGCGGAGUGUGAUCGCCCGGCUGUAGGGGGACAAGUGCUAUCAAAAUGAUGUCCUUAACGUGGAGUUGGGAAGAGUUGCGUGGAAUUGGCGCUCACCAGCUGCUACGAGCCAGCCCCAGACAUUCACUCACGGCCCAUCGAUUCUCAGAUCUCAGGAAGAAGAAGCAAGCCAGCACACUUUCCCACAAAUGGUGAUGGCUUUCAGUGUCAUGCAAAGCCACGCUGGAGCCUAAGGCAAAGACAAAGUCGCUAAUACUAAUCCUGUCUUCAUUUAAAACUUUGAAAGUUGGUUUAUCAUGGAUUUUUUGCAUCAGUUUUGAUUUUUUAAAAUAUUGCCUUAAAUCUUUAUUCCGCCUCCUUUUUAUUCUCCUCCUUCUAUUUUUCUUCUCCCUUUUCUUUUCUUCCCCCUCCCCCCUCUUUUUUAUUUUGCUAUUUAUAGUAGAAUGGUUAAGCCACCAGAGCCAGACCACACAGGUUCAAAUUAGCAAAUGGCUCUGUCACUUAAUAACCGUAUGACUCUGAGCACGUUGCUGACAUAUAGGUGCUUGCUAUUUUAUAUAUGUGUACUUUUUUUUGCUAAAUAUAUGUAUAAUAUAAAUAUAAAUAUGCUAACAAAUAUUGAGUGUUUAUGUUGAGCACUUGACUAAUCAUUUUAUAUACAUUAUCUCAUUUAAUCUACACAUGUGCACACACACAGAACAUGAGGUUUAUGGAUGAGGAAACUGAGGCCCAAAGAGAUUGAAGACCACACCCGGAGUCACACAGCUAGCUAGUGGUGGGGCCGAGAUGCAUGCUCAAGUCGGUCUGAUUCUAGAGCCUGCCCUCUUAAACCUCAUGUUGCACGUAUUUUGGGAACCAAGCCCGUGCACCACUUCCUCGUGGGCAGUGUGGAGGGUCCGCUUUAGGGCACGUGUCACCACGAAGGUCUCAAGGAACCGCUGGUGAACUCCUGUGAGCCAUGCCCAGGGCCAGCACCCAGCCCUGGGCUUCCCUUUCAGGCCGGCGCCCACCGUCACCAGGCAAAGCGGGAAAGUCUGGAAUUAAUUAAGGGGAAUUAUGCUUCCUGUACAGAGUUAUUGGGAAGAGAUGAAAUCUCUGCCUGCCAAUGUUGUUUUAAAGGGGAAAUGGGAGAGAUAUAGUGAUAAGUGCUCUGGAAGAUCCACAGUUGCUCGAAUAUUCUUCCACGAGUUAGAAAUCUUACUUAGAAAAUUC